UGCCCACACUUUCCCCAGAGCUUAAACAUAGCCUUGUUACGAUCUGUGCUUCUUCUCAACUGGCAGCCACCUCUGUGACAAUGUCCCCACAGCAAUAAAAAGAUCACUAACACAUUUGAUGUUCAGAUGGAGUGCUAAACUACAAGAAAGAAAAUAUUAAGCACAAACAUCCAUAAAUAAUAUGUGUGAUGCAGUUACGCAGUUUGAAAGGCACAAGUUAAGAGCACCAGGGCUCACACACAGCAGUGUUUGGCUGUUAGCAUCUUGGCUGGGCAAAACCAUUUGAAGGCAGGCACAGGCAGCCAUCACCUGGAGACCCGGCUGGGCAGCAGGGCUCAGCCAUCACACCUAGGGAGCCCUGGAGAGGAGCCAUCUGAGGUCCCAUGACAGCCUUGGCCUCAGCCCCUGCACACUGCUAACUCCCAGCCCUCCUUCUGGGUGCAAGGCUCAAGAUGGGUGGGGUGAGGAGGCACAGGUGUGCUGAGGAGAGGUGAGGUGCAGUGGCUAUUUUGUGGAGGUGAGGGGAAGGGGUUUCUCUGGAGAGAGACGGAGAGAUGCUUCUGAAAGUCAGUAAGAGGAAGGGAAACAUGAGCAGCAGUAUAUAGAGGACAAACUUUGGAGGCCAGGAGAUUUGCAGCUUGGUCAUUGAUGAAGGAGAGUCUCAGCCAACUGCAAACGUUCCAGCAGCUCAGUUGAAGUAAAGGCUUUUAGAAUAUCUUGCAACUGAGGGGAUGGGAGCACCAAAGGUCAUGUCUGUGUGUCUUUGAGGGAGCAUGGAAGGCCAAUGGUCUCCUGAGCUGAAUCAAGUUCAUGCUGAAAUCAGUGGAAUUUGGAACAGCUCUUUGUGCUCUGGUUGUAUUCAUGGGGGAAUUUUUUCACAUGAGAGUUUUUCCUCUGCUAGAGUAGAGCUGGCGCUGUGUACCUUGGGCUAUAACUAUUCCCUUGAUAUGACUUCAGCCAUCUGGGAAAAAAAUUAUUUAAUUAAAGCAUUAACUGUACUUUAAUACAGAGAAAUGUAAGUGAUUGAAUCUGAGGGAAAAAUGUAGGCCACAUUUUCACAGUGAAGUUAUUUUGGGAAAGAGCAACUGAA
Molecule: long non-coding RNA, 1090 nt
Filed under: Anas platyrhynchos platyrhynchos (common mallard)
Lineage: Eukaryota; Metazoa; Chordata; Aves; Anseriformes; Anatidae
Description: lncRNA (ENSAPLG00000027849.1)
Source: RNAcentral